This 623-nucleotide ribosomal RNA is filed under the name French bean phytoplasma Pune. RNAcentral describes it as "bacterial SSU rRNA". It matches the Rfam family "Bacterial small subunit ribosomal RNA", at positions 366 to 993 of the family's 1533-position model. The record is from RNAcentral. Lineage: Bacteria; Bacillati; Mycoplasmatota; Mollicutes; Acholeplasmatales; Acholeplasmataceae.
CGGCAAUGGAGGAAACUCUGACCGAGCAACGCCGCGUGAACGACGAAGUACUUUGGUAUGUAAAGUUCUUUUAUCAAGGAAGAAAAGCAAGUGGCGAACCAUUUGUUUGCCGGCACUUGAUGAAUAAGCCCCGGCUAAUUAUGUGCCAGCAGCCGCGGUAAGACAUAAGGGGCAAGUGUUAUCCGGAAUUAUUGGGCGUAAAGGGUGCGUAAGCGGUCUAGUAAGUCAGUGGUGUAAUGGCAACGCUCAACGUUGUCCGGUUAUUGAAACUGCUAAACUUGAGUUAGAUAGAGGCGAGUGGAAUUCCAUGUGUAGCGGUAAAAUGCGUAAAUAUAUGGAGGAACACCAGAGGCGUAGGCGGCUCGCUGGGUCUUAACUGACGCUGAGGCACGAAAGCGUGGGGAGCAAACAGGAUUAGAUACCCUGGUAGUCCACGCCGUAAACGAUGAGUACUAAGUGUCGGGUUAAACCGGUACUGAAGUUAACACAUUAAGUACUCCGCCUGAGUAGUACGUACGCAAGUAUGAAACUUAAAGGAAUUGACGGGACUCCGCACAAGCGGUGGAUCAUGUUGUUUAAUUCGAAGAUACCCGAAAAACCUUACCAGGUCUUGACAUGUUUUU